Molecule: ribosomal RNA, 254 nt
Filed under: uncultured bacterium
Lineage: Bacteria
Description: partial 16S ribosomal RNA
Rfam family: Bacterial small subunit ribosomal RNA
Source: RNAcentral
UACGAAGGGGGCUAGCGUUGCUCGGAAUGACUGGGCGUAAAGGGCGCGUAGGCGGCUUGAUAAGGUUGCGGUGAAAGUCAGGGGCUCAACCCCUGAUCGGCCGUGCGAACUGGGGAGCUUGAGCACUGUAGAGGCAGGCGGAAUUCCGGGUGUAGCGGUGGAAUGCGUAGAGAUCCGGAAGAACACCGGUGGCGAAGGCGGCCUGCUGGGCAGUUUUGCUGACACUGAGGCGCGACAGCGUGGGGAGCAACAGG